CAGAGUUAUCUAAACUCCCAACCCAUGUGAACUUACCAUUGUUGCCUCGGCAGAACCUACCCUGUAGCGACUGCCGGUGGACUUCUAAACUCUUGUUAUUUUAAAAGUAAUCUGAGCGUCUUAUUUUAAUAAGUUA
Molecule: unclassified non-coding RNA, 136 nt
Filed under: uncultured Ascomycota
Lineage: Eukaryota; Fungi; Ascomycota
Description: sequence contains ITS1
Source: RNAcentral